Long non-coding RNA from Herpailurus yagouaroundi (jaguarundi), 3592 nucleotides. RefSeq lists it as uncharacterized. NCBI's taxonomy places the organism in Eukaryota, Metazoa, Chordata, Mammalia, Carnivora, Felidae. The transcript has 4 exons. The record is from RefSeq and is a predicted model, not a curated record.
CGGCUGCUGGUAUUGAGGGUCGUGUGCGGCUGUGGGUGUACCUGCCGGUGGGAUUCGUAUGUCACCGGCCUCGCUGGGGCCGGGUUCGUGACGUCAGAAAACAUGAAGGUAGCUGAAUCCAGGCCAGAACUAACAUUUGCUCAAGAUUGGGUCUCAAAAAGGUGUCCACUUGGACUUCACUGCCCUCGAGAAGACUCUGCUGGUUCUUCUUAGACCAGGUUAUGUACCCUUUCAUGUACUCCUUACCUUGGUACUUAUCAGAAUCAUAACUGAAGACCAAAACCACCAAGUACUCCUGCUGCUGCCCUGCCGCCUUUACUGAGAGGCACCACUGACAGGUAACUGGCGUUACCACCCGCCAUCAUCCCACACACACUGCCUCACCACCCCAGCCAACAUAAGGGACUUGCAGACCUGCCUCUGUGUAAUCAGAGCAGAUGAAAGAGAUUCGGGGACACAGAUGCUGUGCUUGCACUGCUGAGGGAGGGGAUGUCAAUUUCAAAGCCCUCUUCCCUAGAAAGAUGGACUCUGCCCUUGACACCCCAAGAGCUGACUGGCCACACACGGUGGUUGAAAUUGGGAGCUACGUGUUGCCAUAAUUGGCACUGCAUGGUGCGUGAAGAGCACUUGUAUCAAGGUGUUACAGCAGGAUACCACGACUGGGGUGAGGGGAUCAGCUGCAGACGAUGGCUAAAUCUUGCAAGGGGUCACCAGUGCUUAGGGAAACUGCACUGGAGCAAGUCCCUCCCCGGCAGGGCAUGUUGAAGCCCCCUGGCGCCCUCACCUAUGAAAUAUGGAAAUGGUGAUGCUUGCCCCCCGGGAUUGUCACAAAGACUACAUGAGAUAAUGUGAGAAACCUUCUGCAAAGUGGACCCACAAUUAAUGUUAGCUCCCUUGCUACGCUUUUGCUGCUCAGUGUUUAACGCCUGGAUAAAUACUUCGAGUGUGGAAAGAGACGGGGAGCUUUUCAUAAUGUCAGAUUCAACCUAAAAGGAAAAGUCUGUGUUUGCAGAGUUCUAUCUCCCUGGAUUACCAGGCAGAUUCUGAAAUUUAUUAACCUUUUUAGUCAUUUGUGAACACCAGCAAAAGGACUUCUUUGAAUAAUCAAAAAACCUCCUCAUUCUGGCAGCCAAAUAAAAGGAGGCCAGGUGUUCAGGAUUAAAAAUGCAUUACCCCCACCACUGACUUUCUGGGGAUGGUGUCAAGAAUUUUCUCUUUCAUAACAUGUACCAUUUCUAGAGUAGAGAAAGAGGAGGGAAAAGUGAACAGAGAUGAUAAGGAGACUUUAGGAAACAUGGGGGUGGACAGAAAAAUGAAGGGUGAAAGUGACAGACGGAAGACAGGAGAACCCUAUUUUUAGCCAGUUACGGUCUUCUUCUGUCCCCUUAAAAAUAGACCCUCUUCCUGCCCACAGUGAAUGGAGUGGACAAUAUCUGGGGCUCCAUAACACCAUUUGUGUAUCUGUUUGAAGGCAUUGACAUUGUGACUCUUAGACAAGGUUGGGUAGGCCUUUUAACACUAGAUACACAGCCACCAAAUUUCCUCUAGAACUGUUUCUAAGAAAAAUGCCCACAUUCACACUCUUGUUUUCUAAAAUUAUCCUUAGCACGAGGCUAAGACUAUUUUCUUGAAGUAAAACUAAGACAAUUUCUCGUUGCUAAUGAAACUAACCACACGCACACGUGUCGAGGCACCAUGCUAGGUCUUGACAUUCAUGGUACCCUUUUGGCAGAUGGGGACAUUUAGGCUCAGGAAGCGAGCAGGCUGGAUCCGGGCCACAGAGCUCAUAUGUAGUGGAACUAGUAUUCAAACCCAGGUCUCAUCCAAACCCUGACAUUGUCACCUCUGCCCUGUUAUCGGCUUUGGAAACCUUUAGCGGCUGCCACUCCAGCACCCGGGCUGAGCUCUGACACUGAGAAAUGCAGCCCAUGGGAAAGGCAAGAACCGAGCACAGCACUGGUCGCUACCAGAAGGAGGAUUGUAUUACAAGCCCUUCAGACUUUGUACACAACACGCUCGUGGUGCACCAUGAGGCCGUUUUGAGGCUCAAGGAUUACUUUGGAAAGGCUUCUGUAAUUUCAGAGUUUAAUGAUAUGAAAUUAGACCUAGAAUCCUCAAACAAACCCAUUUCAGAACUACAAUACCCCUGGAAAUGAGCACUUCCAUUAGAUUUGAGACCAUUACGUAUCCAUCUCUGUGUGAGGGAAAUAGAUGUUUUCACGUUAGAACAAAUACAAAACAUCAUUUUCAUCCAGUACAAUUUCCUGAACUCCUUUUAUCCAAUUUCCCAGUUUUUUCCGAUAUUUGAAACUGAAGUAAAGCUUUCCUCUUAGCCCAGUUUCUUGUUCACUUUAACUCCGCAACAAAAUUAUUCUUAGGUUUUAUCACUGGCCUAUUUCUUAGAUAGGACUUGGGUUUCAUUAUUUCAACAUGGGGUCAAAAAUAGAAAAAGAUGUUCCAGAAACAGACUUUUGUUAUUUUCUUUAUAAUCAUUGAAUCUAUAUGCCAUUUUGCCCAACCCUUGUACAUUAUGUGGGAGAUCUUUGAACAAUUACAAAUCUACUACAAACAAUAGUUUCUGGUACUCAGGUAAUGAGAAAUGUCUUAAAGAUGAUAAACACAGGUAUUCACAAUAGAUUGAGAGAUUAAACAACCUAAACAAAGGAAAAAUAUUCCCCAAUCUUAUGUGAACAAAGAUUGCAUACAUCACAAUUAGGAAAAGUUUCAUAUUUUUUAAGCACAAUAAAAUGUUGUUUAGUCUUUGAGCAGUAUUAAAAAAUCCUCAGUUAAACAACUACAUACAUACAUUUACUAUUUAUAAGAUAUUCUCUAAGACACCAUUAUGGUAUUAGGACGAAUAAUAAAUACACGGGUCACUAACUUCAAGAAUCUUUUACUGUUAUAGGGGAGGUAAGAAAUGUAUUUAUAAGCUAUAAUAUAAAGAUGAAUAUGAUGAGUGCCAUAAAGUACAAAGAAUUAUGGGGGUUCAGAAGAAGGAAGGAUUAUCUCUAUGUGAGAUCAGAAGAUGGUAGGCCGCCCAUUCCAGGAUAAUGAAAUGCAUGAGAAAAGAUAAUACCGUUUGAGGAAACAGUCCCCUUUGAAAUUCAAAAUGUCAGUGGGAAAUACAGCAGGAGCAUUAGCCUGAGAUUGGACCACAGAAAGCAAAUGCCAGAUCCAAGGGUUUGGAGGUUAGUCAGUUGGAGAAAUAUACACUCACUAGGUACAACUAGUAUUUCAAACAUUACCUAUUUUUACCUAUUUAAAAUAUCUCUUUUUUUUAACAGCUUUAUUGAAGUAUAAUUGACAUAUAAUUAACUGUGCAUGUUUAAAGCAUAUAAUUUGGUAAAUUUUGACAUAUGUAUACACCCAUGAAACCAUCACCACAAUCAACAUAAUGAACAUAUCAAUCACCCCCAAAAGUUUCCUUGUGCCCCUUUGUAAUCUCUUCCUCCUGCCCCAUCGCUAGGCAAUUGUUGAUCUGCUUUCUGCCACUGUAGGUUAAUUGGCACUUUCAAGAACUUUGUAUAAAUGGAAUUAUACACUAUUGACUCUUUAGUCUGACUUCUUUCACUCAACACAAUUUUUUGAGAUU